UUGAUGAUGAUUGUGAUAACAUAAGGGAAAAAAAUGAUAUCACCUUAUUAUAAGUGUUGUCCAAAACUGGUGCCAGAAGACUCGGUAAGACCAGAGACGCGAACGUUAGUCAUCUUAAUCAGGCGUAAAGGGUGUGUAGGCUGCUUUUAAAAGUUGUUAAAUCUUUAUAAUAGCUCUCUUGCAUUUCGGAGGUGUCGAGUUAGUGACAGACAAAACAAAGAAGGGUGUAAGAGAAAAGAGUUAACAAAAGAAAUGAAAGCUAGAAUCAAAUGUAGGAUAAGCCGAAUAAUACUUAGAGUAGGGGUUAUAUCCGCAGAUACUAAGGGGAAUACUAACGGUGAAAACUUUUAUCUAGUAUUGAUUGACGCUGAGAAACGAAGGUGAUAAUAGGAAAUAGGAUUAGAUACCCAGAUACCUUUCACUGUCAACGAUGAAUGGUGAUUUGUUAGUUUUGGUAAAAACUAGUAAUGAUGUUAACACGUUAACCAUUCCGCCUUGCGAGUACGGUUGCAAAACUGAAACCAAAAAAAUUAGUCGGUCUCGAAGCAAACGAAGUGAAGCAUGUUAUUU
This 570-nucleotide ribosomal RNA is filed under the name Tricholoma cingulatum. RNAcentral describes it as "partial small subunit ribosomal RNA". It matches the Rfam family "Bacterial small subunit ribosomal RNA", at positions 407 to 947 of the family's 1533-position model. The record is from RNAcentral. Lineage: Eukaryota; Fungi; Basidiomycota; Agaricomycetes; Agaricales; Tricholomataceae.